GGAGAGAGGCUAUGGCUCAGAGGCAGAGCACCCGCUUUGCACGCAGAAGGUCCCAAGUUCCAUCCCCGGCCUCUGCA
This 77-nucleotide transfer RNA is filed under the name Sphaerodactylus townsendi. RNAcentral's name for it is "tRNA-Ala". The record is from RNAcentral. Lineage: Eukaryota; Metazoa; Chordata; Lepidosauria; Squamata; Sphaerodactylidae.